RNAcentral lists this ribosomal RNA (482 nucleotides) under uncultured bacterium. Its description in RNAcentral is "partial 16S ribosomal RNA". It matches the Rfam family "Bacterial small subunit ribosomal RNA", at positions 30 to 507 of the family's 1533-position model. The record is from RNAcentral.
AUUGAACGCUGGCGGCAUGCUUUACACAUGCAAGUCGAACGGUAACAGGCCGCAAGGUGCUGACGAGUGGCGAACGGGUGAGUAAUGCAUCGGAACGUGCCCAGUCGUGGGGGAUAACUACUCGAAAGAGUAGCUAAUACCGCAUACGAUCUAUGGAUGAAAGCGGGGGACCGUAAGGCCUCGCGCGAUUGGAGCGGCCGAUGUCAGAUUAGGUAGUUGGUGGGGUAAAGGCUCACCUAGCCAACGAUCUGUAGCUGGUCUGAGAGGACGACCAGCCACACUGGGACUGAGACACGGCCCAGACUCCUACGGGAGGCAGCAGUGGGGAAUUUUGGACAAUGGGCGCAAGCCUGAUCCAGCAAUGCCGCGUGCAGGAAGAAGGCCUUCGGGUUGUAAACUGCUUUUGUACGGAACGAAACGGCUCUGGUUAAUACCCGGGGCUAAUGACGGUACCGUAAGAAUAAGCACCGGCUAACUACGUG